CUUACCAUGCAGUCGAACGGCAGCACGGGAGCAAUCCUGGUGGCGAGUGGCGAACGGGUGAGUAAUACAUCGGAACGUGCCCAAUCGUGGGGGAUAACGCAGCGAAAGCUGUGCUAAUACCGCAUAAGAUCUACGGAUGAAAGCAGGGGAUCGCAAGACCUUGCGCGAAUGGAGCGGCCGAUGGCAGAUUAGGUAGUUGGUGAGGUAAAGGCUCACCAAGCCUUCGAUCUGUAGCUGGUCUGAGAGGACGACCAGCCACACUGGGACUGAGACACGGCCCAGACUCCUACGGGAGGCAGCAGUGGGGAAUUUUGGACAAUGGGCGAAAGCCUGAUCCAGCCAUGCCGCGUGCAGGAUGAAGGCCUUCGGGUUGUAAACUGCUUUUGUACGGAACGAAACGGCCUUUUCUAAUAAAGAGGGCUAAUGACGGUACCGUAAGAAUAAGCACCGGCUAACUACGUGCCAGCAGCCGCGGUAAUACGUAGGGUGCAAGCGUUAAUCGGAAUUACUGGGCGUAAAGCGUGCGCAGGCGGUUAUGUAAGACAGUUGUGAAAUCCCCGGGCUCAACCUGGGAACUGCAUCUGUGACUGCAUAGCUAGAGUACGGUAGAGGGGGAUGGAAUUCCGCGUGUAGCAGUGAAAUGCGUAGAUAUGCGGAGGAACACCGAUGGCGAAGGCAAUCCCCUGGACCUGUACUGACGCUCAUGCACGAAAGCGUGGGGAGCAAACAGGAUUAGAUACCCUGGUAGUCCACGCCCUAAACGAUGUCAACUGGUUGUUGGGUCUUCACUGACUCAGUAACGAAGCUAACGCGUGAAGUUGACCGCCUGGGGAGUACGGCCGCAAGGUUGAAACUCAGAAG
Molecule: ribosomal RNA, 861 nt
Filed under: Variovorax sp. NAS2(11)
Lineage: Bacteria; Pseudomonadati; Pseudomonadota; Betaproteobacteria; Burkholderiales; Comamonadaceae
Description: bacterial SSU rRNA
Rfam family: Bacterial small subunit ribosomal RNA
Source: RNAcentral